GCAGUUUGAUCUCAGACUGCUGUGCUAGCAAUCAGCGAGACUCCAUGGGCGUAGGACCCUCGGAGCCAGGUGCGGGAUGUAAUCUCGUGGUGCGCCGUUUUUUAAGCCCGUCGGAAAAGCGCAAUAUUCGGGUGGGAGUGACCCGAUUUUCCAGGUAGAGACACUUUUGACUUGAUCUCUGCAGUCCUCAACAUGGUCGAAGUCUGAAAUCAAGUGUGAGCAGGGCCACAUGGGCCCAUUCUGAAGACCCGAAGGAGAGUCCCCCUUUCCCUCUUCCAGCGUCUGGCAGUCCUAGGCCUUCUUUGGUUGACGGCAGCCUCACUUCCAUCUGUGCCUGUGACUCACAUAGCCCUCUUCUCAAAGUCUCUGACUUUCUCUUCUCUUAAAAGAACACCUCGGCUGGGUGUGGUGGCACACGCCUGUAAUCCCAGCACUUUGGGAGCCCCAGGCAGGUGAUCUGCCUGCCUCGGCCUCCCAAAGUGCUAGGAUUAUAGGCAUGAGCCACAGCAUGGGGCCCAGUUUCAAUCUUUUACCAAUGAAAACCUGAACACAAAACAAUAAUUCUUAACCAAUCAUGAUGAAACACAGUAACUUUUUUUUUUAAUAAAAGGAAGAAGAAAGUGUUGAAAAUUGACAUCUAUGUUUACAUAUCACAGCAACACAAAGUGCCAGCAAAAAAAAAAAAAGUGGAAAAAUGAAAGUAUCUUGGCCCCAUGAGUUUUG
This 723-nucleotide long non-coding RNA is filed under the name Homo sapiens (human). RNAcentral's name for it is "non-protein coding lnc-ARL4C-2:2". The record is from RNAcentral. Lineage: Eukaryota; Metazoa; Chordata; Mammalia; Primates; Hominidae.